RNAcentral lists this ribosomal RNA (620 nucleotides) under uncultured bacterium. RNAcentral's name for it is "bacterial SSU rRNA". The stretch from base 1 to 539 matches the Rfam family "Bacterial small subunit ribosomal RNA", at positions 338 to 873 of the family's 1533-position model. The record is from RNAcentral.
CCUACGGGAGGCAGCAGUGGGGAAUUUUGGACAAUGGGCGAAAGCCUGAUCCAGCCAUUCCGCGUGCAGGAUGAAGGCCCUCGGGUUGUAAACUGCUUUUGUACAGAACGAAAAGGUUUCUAUUAAUACUAGGAGCUCAUGACGGUACUGUAAGAAUAAGCACCGGCUAACUACGUGCCAGCAGCCGCGGUAAUACGUAGGGUGCAAGCGUUAAUCGGAAUUACUGGGCGUAAAGCGUGCGCAGGCGGUUAUAUAAGGUCAGAUGUGAAAUCCCCAGGCUCAACCUGGGAACUGCAUUUGAGACUGUAUAGCUAGAGUACGGUAGAGGGGGAUGGAAUUCCGCGUGUAGCAGUGAAAUGCGUAGAUAUGCGGAGGAACACCGAUGGCGAAGGCAAUCCCCUGGACCUGUACUGACGCUCAUGCACGAAAGCGUGGGGAGCAAACAGGAUUAGAUACCCUGGUAGUCCAGCCCUAAACGAUGUCAACUGUUGUUGGUCUUACUGACUCAGUAACGAGCUAACGCGUAGAAGUUGACCGCGCGGAGGUACGGCCGCGAGUAGUAAACGUAAAGUAAGUAGUAGACGUGAGAGAGACGACGACGACGACGACGGAGGGAGGAG